RNAcentral lists this ribosomal RNA (458 nucleotides) under uncultured bacterium. RNAcentral's name for it is "partial 16S ribosomal RNA". It matches the Rfam family "Bacterial small subunit ribosomal RNA", at positions 338 to 795 of the family's 1533-position model. The record is from RNAcentral.
CCUACGGGAGGCAGCAGUGGGGAAUAUUGCACAAUGGGGGAAACCCUGAUGCAGCGACGCCGCGUGAGUGAAGAAGUAAUUCGUUACGUAAAGCUCUAUCAGCAGGGGAGAAACACUGACCUUACGGUCAGCAGACGGUACCUGAGUAAGAAGCCCCGGCUAACUACGUGCCAGCAGCCGCGGUAAUACGUAGGGGGCAAGCGUUAUCCGGAUUUACUGGGUGUAAAGGGAGCGUAGACGGUGCGCCAAGGCUGGAGUGAAAUGCCGCAGCUUAACUGCGGAACUGCUUUGGAAACUGGCGAACUAGAGUGCGGGAGGGGGAAGCGGAAUUCCUAGUGUAGCGGUGAAAUGCGUAGAUAUUAGGAGGAACACCGGUGGCGAAGGCGGCUUACUGGACCGUAACUGACGUUGAGGCUCGAAAGCGUGGGGAGCAAACAGGAUUAGAUACCCCUGUAGUC